Molecule: ribosomal RNA, 274 nt
Filed under: uncultured bacterium
Lineage: Bacteria
Description: partial 16S ribosomal RNA
Rfam family: Bacterial small subunit ribosomal RNA
Source: RNAcentral
AUACGGAGGGUGCAAGCGUUACUCGGAAUCACAGGGCGUAAAGCGCGCGCAGGCGGCUAUUUAAGUUGGAUGUGAAAGCCUACGGCUCAACCGUAGAACUGCAUCCAAAACUAUUUAGCUAGAGUGUGGGAGAGGAAGAUGGAAUUAGUUGUGUAGGGGUAAAAUCCGUAGAGAUAACUAGGAAUACCAAAAGCGAAGGCAAUCUUCUGGAACACUACUGACGCUGAGGCGCGAAAGCGUGGGGAGCAAACAGGAUUAGAUACCCUAGUAGUCC